This 107-nucleotide small RNA is filed under the name Marmota monax (woodchuck). The record is from RNAcentral. Lineage: Eukaryota; Metazoa; Chordata; Mammalia; Rodentia; Sciuridae.
ACCGGGUGUGGUGGCACAUAUCUGUAAUCCCAGGGACUUGGGAGGCUGAGGCAGGAGGAUCACAAGUUUCGGGUCAGUUUCAGCAACUUAGUGAGACCCUGUUUCAA